UUCCUGUUCCUGGCUGGACUGAAAGGAAUUGAGCACUCAGUGUGCACUUCCUGUCAGUCCAGCGGGGAACAGGAA
Pelobates cultripes (western spadefoot toad) is the source of this 75-nucleotide non-coding RNA. Lineage: Eukaryota; Metazoa; Chordata; Amphibia; Anura; Pelobatidae. The record is from the annotation of a GenBank genome assembly.